GCCUGGGUGGCUCAGUCGGUUGAGCAUCCGACUUCAGCUCAGGUCAUGAUCUCAUGGUCUGUGAGUUCGAGCCCUGCACCAGGCU
Felis catus (domestic cat) is the source of this 85-nucleotide transfer RNA. It matches the Rfam family "tRNA". Rfam says of the family: Transfer RNA (tRNA) molecules are approximately 80 nucleotides in length. Their secondary structure includes four short double-helical elements and three loops (D, anti-codon, and T loops). Lineage: Eukaryota; Metazoa; Chordata; Mammalia; Carnivora; Felidae. The record is from Rfam.